AUAGUAAAUAGAAAUCCACAUAUAUGCUGAAGGAUUGGCUUCAGUGUUUCUACCAGGACACCGUAAUGUCUGGACUAUGGGGAAAAGUGAAUUU
Molecule: non-coding RNA, 94 nt
Filed under: uncultured Sporosarcina sp.
Lineage: Bacteria; Bacillati; Bacillota; Bacilli; Caryophanales; Caryophanaceae
Description: Purine riboswitch
Rfam family: Purine riboswitch aptamer
About the family: Riboswitches are metabolite binding domains within certain messenger RNAs that serve as precision sensors for their corresponding targets. Allosteric rearrangement of mRNA structure is mediated by ligand binding, and this results in modulation of gene expression.
Source: RNAcentral